UGCGGAAGGAUCAUUACCGAGUGUAGGGUUCCUAGCGAGCCCAACCUCCCACCCGUGUUUACUGUACCUUAGUUGCUUCGGCGGGCCCGCCAUUCAUGGCCGCCGGGGGCUCUCAGCCCCGGGCCCGCGCCCGCCGGAGACACCACGAACUCUGUCUGAUCUAGUGAAGUCUGAGUUGAUUGUAUCGCAAUCAGUUAAAACUUUCAACAAUGGAUCUCUUGGUUCCGGCAUCGAUGAAGAACGCAGCGAAAUGCGAUAACUAGUGUGAAUUGCAGAAUUCCGUGAAUCAUCGAGUCUUUGAACGCACAUUGCGCCCCCUGGUAUUCCGGGGGGCAUGCCUGUCCGAGCGUCAUUGCUGCCCAUCAAGCACGGCUUGUGUGUUGGGUCGUCGUCCCCUCUCCGGGGGGGACGGGCCCCAAAGGCAGCGGCGGCACCGCGUCCGAUCCUCGAGCGUAUGGGGCUUUGUCACCCGCUCUGUAGGCCCGGCCGGCGCUUGCCGAACGCAAAUCAAUCUUUUCCAGGUUGACCUCGGAUCAGGUAGGGAUACCCGCUGAACUUAAGCAUAUCA
RNAcentral lists this ribosomal RNA (568 nucleotides) under Aspergillus flavus. Its description in RNAcentral is "eukaryotic LSU rRNA". The stretch from base 199 to 352 matches the Rfam family "5.8S ribosomal RNA". Lineage: Eukaryota; Fungi; Ascomycota; Eurotiomycetes; Eurotiales; Aspergillaceae. The record is from RNAcentral. RNAcentral also lists the same sequence under 1 other name.